GGUGUUAUGGCUCAGGGGUAGAGCUCUCACCCAACAUGUGUGAGGAACUGGGUUCGAUCCUCAGCAACAUAU
Molecule: transfer RNA, 72 nt
Filed under: Marmota monax (woodchuck)
Lineage: Eukaryota; Metazoa; Chordata; Mammalia; Rodentia; Sciuridae
Description: tRNA.Val
Source: RNAcentral